RNAcentral lists this ribosomal RNA (349 nucleotides) under uncultured Anoxybacillus sp. Its description in RNAcentral is "bacterial SSU rRNA". It matches the Rfam family "Bacterial small subunit ribosomal RNA", at positions 1033 to 1382 of the family's 1533-position model. The record is from RNAcentral. Lineage: Bacteria; Bacillati; Bacillota; Bacilli; Caryophanales; Anoxybacillaceae.
GACAGGUGGUGCAUGGUUGUCGUCAGCUCGUGUCGUGAGAUGUUGGGUUAAGUCCCGCAACGAGCGCAACCCUCGACCUUAGUUGCCAGCAUUCAGUUGGGCACUCUAAGGUGAACUGCCGGCUAAAAGUCGGAGGAAGGUGGGGAUGACGUCAAAUCAUCAUGCCCCUUAUGACCUGGGCUACACACGUGCUACAAUGGGCGGUACAAAGGGUCGCGAACCCGCGAGGGGGAGCCAAUCCCAAAAAGCCGCUCUCAGUUCGGAUUGCAGGCUGCAACUCGCCUGCAUGAAGCCGGAAUCGCUAGUAAUCGCGGAUCAGCAUGCCGCGGUGAAUACGUUCCCGGGCCUU